Molecule: small nuclear RNA, 18 nt
Filed under: Arabidopsis thaliana (thale cress)
Lineage: Eukaryota; Viridiplantae; Streptophyta; Magnoliopsida; Brassicales; Brassicaceae
Description: snRNA_08639
Source: RNAcentral
GCUCCUGCUGCUGCUGGU